UGGGGAAUCUUGGACAAUGGGGGAAACCCUGAUCCAGCCAUGCCGCGUGAGCGAUGACGGCCUUAGGGUUGUAAAGCUCUUUCACCGGUGACGAUAAUGACGGUAGCCGGAGAAGAAGCCCCGGCUAACUCCGUGCCAGCAGCCGCGGUAAUACGGAGGGGGCUAGCGUUGUUCGGAAUUACUGGGCGUAAAGCGCGCGUAGGCGGAUCGUUAAGUCGGGGGUGAAAUCCCGGGGCUCAACCCCGGAACGGCCCUCGAUACUGGCGAUCUAGAGGACGAGAGAGGCGAGUGGAAUUCCGAGUGUAGAGGUGAAAUUCGUAGAUAUUCGGAGGAACACCAGUGGCGAAGGCGGCUCGCUGGCUCGAUCCUGACGCUGAGGCGCGAAAGUGUGGGGAGCAAACAGGAUUAGAUACCCCCGUAGUCC
Molecule: ribosomal RNA, 424 nt
Filed under: uncultured prokaryote
Description: bacterial SSU rRNA
Rfam family: Bacterial small subunit ribosomal RNA
Source: RNAcentral